GAUGAACGCUAGCUACAGGCUUAACACAUGCAAGUCGAGGGGAAACGGCAUUAAGUGCUUGCACUUUUUGGACGUCGACCGGCGCACGGGUGAGUAACGCGUAUCCAACCUUCCCAUGACUAAGGGAUAACCUGCCGAAAGGCAGACUAAUACCUUAUGGUCUUCACUGACGGCAUCAGAUGUGAAGUAAAGAUUUAUCGGUUAUGGAUGGGGAUGCGUCUGAUUAGCUUGUUGGCGGGGUAACGGCCCACCAAGGCAACGAUCAGUAGGGGUUCUGAGAGGAAGGUCCCCCACAUUGGAACUGAGACACGGUCCAAACUCCUACGGGAGGCAGCAGUGAGGAAUAUUGGUCAAUGGGUGAGAGCCUGAACCAGCCAAGUAGCGUGCAGGAUGACGGCCCUAUGGGUUGUAAACUGCUUUUGUAUGGGGAUAAAGUCAAUCACGUGUGAUUGUUUGCAGGUACCAUACGAAUAAGGACCGGCUAAUUCCGUGCCAGCAGCCGCGGUAAUACGGAAGGUCCGGGCGUUAUCCGGAUUUAUUGGGUUUAAAGGGAGCGUAGGCUGGAGAUUAAGUGUGUUGUGAAAUGUAGACGCUCAACGUCUGACUUGCAGCGCAUACUGGUUUCCUUGAGUACGCACAACGUUGGCGGAAUUCGUCGUGUAGCGGUGAAGUGCUUAGAUAUGACGAAGAACUCCGAUUGCGAAGGCAGCUGACGGGAGCGCAACUGACGCUGAAGCUCGAAGGUGCGGGUAUCGAACAGG
RNAcentral lists this ribosomal RNA (761 nucleotides) under Prevotella melaninogenica. RNAcentral describes it as "bacterial SSU rRNA". It matches the Rfam family "Bacterial small subunit ribosomal RNA", at positions 28 to 776 of the family's 1533-position model. Lineage: Bacteria; Pseudomonadati; Bacteroidota; Bacteroidia; Bacteroidales; Prevotellaceae. The record is from RNAcentral.